GACGAACGCUGGCGGCGUGCUUAACACAUGCAAGUCGAACGGAAAGGCCCUGCGUUUGUGGGCUGCUCGAGUGGCGAACGGGGGCGUAACACGUGAGUAACCUGCCCUUGACUUUGGGAUGACUUCAGGAAACUGGGGUUACUCUCAGACAGCAGCUCCUCCUGCGUGGUGGGGGUUGGAAAUUCUCGGCGGUUGUGGCUGGACUCGCGGCUUAUCAGCUUGUUAGUGGGGUAGUGGCUUACCAAGCCAUUGACGGGUAGCCGGCCUGAGAGGGUGGACGGGCACAAUGGGACUGAGAGAGGGAGCAGACGGCUAUGGGAGGCAGCAGUGGGGAACAUUGCACAAUGGGCGGGAGCGUGAUGCAGAAGCGCUGGGGUUGUGAUGACGGCCUGUGGGGAGUAAACCGCUUUCGGUUGAUACGAAGCGUGAGUGACGGUAAUGGGUAAAUAAGCACCGGCUAACUACGUG
RNAcentral lists this ribosomal RNA (468 nucleotides) under uncultured bacterium. RNAcentral's name for it is "partial 16S ribosomal RNA". It matches the Rfam family "Bacterial small subunit ribosomal RNA", at positions 28 to 507 of the family's 1533-position model. The record is from RNAcentral.